GGGCUGCAGUGAGGAAUAUUGGGCAAUGGGCGCAAGCCUGACCCAGCAACGCCGCGUGGAGGAUGAAUGCCGUAAGGUUGUAAACUCCUUUUUUUAGGGACGAAAAAAUAGGUUGAUAGCCUAUAUUGACGGUACCUUUAGAAUAAGCCCCGGCUAACUACGUGCCAGCAGCCGCGGUAAUACGUAGGGGGCAAGCGUUGUCCGGAUUCACUGGGUGUAAAGGGCGCGUAGGCGGGCUUGCUAGUCAGAGGUGAAAUCCUGCGGCUUAACCGUAGAACUGCCUUUGAUACUGCAAGUCUUGAGUGCGGAAGAGAGAGACGGAAUUCCAGGUGUAGUGGUGAAAUACGUAGAUAUCUGGAAGAACACCAGUGGCGAAGGCGGUCUCUUGGUCCGUUACUGACGCUGAGGCGCGAAAGCGUGGGGAGCAAACAGGAUUAGAUACCCUGGUAGUC
Molecule: ribosomal RNA, 452 nt
Filed under: uncultured Ignavibacteriales bacterium
Lineage: Bacteria; Pseudomonadati; Ignavibacteriota; Ignavibacteria; Ignavibacteriales
Description: bacterial SSU rRNA
Rfam family: Bacterial small subunit ribosomal RNA
Source: RNAcentral